This 497-nucleotide ribosomal RNA is filed under the name uncultured bacterium. Its description in RNAcentral is "bacterial SSU rRNA". It matches the Rfam family "Bacterial small subunit ribosomal RNA", at positions 28 to 531 of the family's 1533-position model. The record is from RNAcentral.
GACGAACGCUGGCGGCGUGCCUAACACAUGCAAGUCGAGCGGAGAUGUACUGAAGAUUUAUCGGAUGUACAUCUUAGCGGCGGACGGGUGAGUAACGCGUGGGCAACCUGCCUUUCACUGGGGGAUAACACAGGGAAACCUGUGCUAAUACCGCAUGACAUCACGUAGGGCAUCCUAUGUGAUCAAAGGAGAGAUCCGGUGGAAGAUGGGCCCGCGUCCAAUUAGCUGGUUGGUGAGGUAAAGGCUCACCAAGGCGACGAUUGGUAGCCGAACUGAGAGGUUGAUCGGCCACAUUGGGACUGAGACACGGCCCAGACUCCUACGGGAGGCAGCAGUGGGGAAUAUUGCGCAAUGGGGGAACCCUGACGCAGCAACGCCGCGUGAAGGAAGAAGGUCUUCGGAUUGUAAACUUCUUUGAUGAGGGACGAAUAAAGUGACGGUACCUACAAAAACAAGCCACGGCUAACUACGUGCCAGCAGCCGCGGUAAUACCCACG